Long non-coding RNA from Sander lucioperca (pikeperch), 159 nucleotides. RefSeq lists it as uncharacterized. The transcript is spliced from 3 exons. The record is from RefSeq and is a predicted model, not a curated record. Lineage: Eukaryota; Metazoa; Chordata; Actinopteri; Perciformes; Percidae.
AUGAACUGCUGGAUUUGUUUUGUUUAUUUAGGAUCCUCAUUAGCUCCUGCAUUGCAGGUGCUAUUCUUCCUGAGGUCCUUACAAGUCACUUGAAAAUGUGGCAAUGCAAUAAUAAAUACACAUAACAUCAUAGACAAUAAAAAAUAAAAAUUGUAAGAC